RNAcentral lists this ribosomal RNA (468 nucleotides) under uncultured bacterium. RNAcentral's name for it is "partial 16S ribosomal RNA". It matches the Rfam family "Bacterial small subunit ribosomal RNA", at positions 28 to 507 of the family's 1533-position model. The record is from RNAcentral.
GACGAACGCUGGCGGCGUGCUUAACACAUGCAAGUCGAACGGAAAGGCCCUGCUUUUGUGGGGUGCUCGAGUGGCGAACGGGUGAGUAACACGUGAGUAACCUGCCCUUGAAUUUGGGAUAACUUCAGGAAACUGGGGCUAAUACCGGAUAGGAGCUCCUGCUGCAUGGUGGGGGGUGGAAAGUUUCGGCGGUUGGGGAUGGACUCGCGGCUUAUCAGCUUGUUGGUGGGGUAGUGGCUUACCAAGGCUUUGACGGGUAGCCGGCCUGAGAGGGUGACCGGCCACAUUGGGACUGAGAUACGGCCCAGACUCCUACGGGAGGCAGCAGUGGGGAAUAUUGCACAAUGGGCGGAAGCCUGAUGCAGCAACGCCGCGUGCGGGAUGACGGCCUUCGGGUUGUAAACCGCUUUCGCCUGUGACGAAGCGUGAGUGACGGUAAUGGGUAAAGAAGCACCGGCUAACUACGUG